UCCCUGGUAGUCCAGUGGCUAAGACUCCACGCUCCAAAUGCAGGGGGCCUGGGUUCAAUUCCUGGUCAGGGAA
Molecule: non-coding RNA, 73 nt
Organism: Bos taurus (domestic cattle)
Lineage: Eukaryota; Metazoa; Chordata; Mammalia; Artiodactyla; Bovidae
Source: Rfam